Molecule: long non-coding RNA, 1916 nt
Organism: Echinops telfairi (small Madagascar hedgehog)
Lineage: Eukaryota; Metazoa; Chordata; Mammalia; Afrosoricida; Tenrecidae
Exons: 4
Source: RefSeq, a predicted model, not a curated record
GUCGGAGGAGUGAAGGGCCACCAAGGCCUGGCCGCCAGGAGCUUCCGGUAGGGCCAGGCAGCGGCCAGGGUGGCCCCGACGAUGAGGGUCAGUCGCUGGGGUCACACGAAGCCAGGCUUCAUGGAGGAGCGACGGCAAUUGGGGCAGCUCCGGGGCCCGCUCUUCUGCAGGCACCUUGGGAGGGAAAGGCUUUGUCCUCUGGCUCUCCUUCUCCCCCUCUCCCACCACCCUCUCUCUGACCCCCACCCCCUGAUCCUGGGGAGGCUUCCAUGGGCAGAGCACUGGGCAGGGAGGCAGGAGGGAGCCAGUCUUCUGCCACCACCGCCCAUAGGGCUCUGCCCCUGCGCUUGUGAAUCAGGUGCGGGGAGGGGUGCACUGCAGGGCCUCUCAGACUCCUCUUUGGGGCCCGUCAUCAUCAACAUCAUCAUCAUGGUCACCUAUGGGGUGCUGGGCGGGUCCAGGGACUAUUCUAGUGGGAGCUCUUAGGACAGACAGCCCGGGGGCCCGGGCUGGGAGCCCCCACCUGAGGUGGAAGACAUGCGAGCAGGGCAGGGCCUGCAGCCGGCUGUUCCGCUCGCCGAUGGACUCGCCGCACAGGCCGCAGUACAGCUCCGUCUCCUCCACGCACUCGUGGAAGCGCACCACGUGGGCGCGCAGCUCGCGCUGCAGGCCCUUGCUGCGGCAGAUGCGCUCGCUCAGGCAGUGCAGCUUCAGCUGGCUCAGCUGGGGACGGACACAGGAGUCAGGGCCAGCCAGCAGCGGCCGGCCCCCUCCUUAGCCAGCCUGCCCCGGGCCCUUUGGAGAUCCACGUUUUGAAACCGUUUUAGUGGCCAACCUGGGUACGUGUAUUCAGCAUGGUUCACGUGCUUCCUGAGCGUUGAUGGUCUCACCCACAACAGAACAGGUUACCAGCCUCGCAGGUUAACCCCCCUGAGCUGCUAUCCCCCAAAUCAGGUGUCUGUUGGGCUCUUCAACUGGGUACCGAGCCCCAGAGAAUUCAUUGCUCCUCCUCUAGAAGAUUCCGAGGGCCACUGGGCCUGCUUGCCACAUUCUUAGAGUUCAGAGGCAAGUAUUGAAUUGGGAGAGGGAUUGGGGUUUGGAAUUGGGACAGACUGGCUCCUGUAAGAACCCUGUGUGUGGGAGGCAGCCACCACCGAGCCUCUCCCACUCCACUUUCAAGGCCCAGAGAAACACCCGGGCCCUGCGGUGGUGGGGACAGUUCCCGGAGGACUGAGCAGAGCCCAGGGCAUGGAAGAGUGCCCUCCCCCACUCCCCCCCAGACCCAGAAGAGGGACUCCGGUCUGACCUUGUUCCCCACCUCCUCGGCCAGGUCCUGGGCUCUCUCGAUGGCCUCCAGAGCCUGAAAGUUUACCCAGCAAUAAAAAGGGAUAUGGAGUCAGCAGCUGCGUCAAAACCCUUCAAACCUAGUGUCCCCCCGGCUCCGGUGGAUGUCGGCAAAGCAGAGCAGGCAGAGCGCCUGCAGUGGACGGUCCCCGUGCUGCAGGGCGAUCUUCAUCGACUCCUGGGCAGGAGGGGACCCUCAGCCUGUGUGGUGCCCUCCACUGCCUACCCCUUCCCCCCGCCCUACUGCAGCAGCCCAGCACCAUCCUCAGAGUCCACCGCAGUCCUGAGGCUUCGUGCACUAACUGCGGAGACCUCCAGCGUCCAGCAAAGUGGCCGCUGUCUCUUGACAGGCAGAAGCAGAGGCUCAGAGAAGAGAGCGGGAUACCAGCUCAGAAAGGACCAAGCUGGAAGCCCAGAGGCUGGCUGUGGGAAGUGAUCCUUGGGCAUGCAGAGAUGGCAGGGCAAAGGUGUGGACCCUCUGAAGGCCAGGUUCUUUGGCCGGUCCAUCCGUGAUUUAUAAGAUCCUGGCACCACACUUGACACCAGCAUUGGCUGAAUGGACAACCGAACAA